Non-coding RNA from Annulohypoxylon nitens, 97 nucleotides. The record is from the annotation of a GenBank genome assembly. NCBI's taxonomy places the organism in Eukaryota, Fungi, Ascomycota, Sordariomycetes, Xylariales, Hypoxylaceae.
GCCGUACUAGAGAAAUGGUUAACUCGUCGGUCUCCUAUUAUAUAAAAAUAUAUAUAAUCACAGCCGAAGAUUCCCGGUUCGAGUCCGGGGUGCGGUG